GUUGAGUCAACUGUUACCUGCCCAAACAAAAUUUUUAAGUAUGACAGAUGGGAAGUUAUUAAAUAGAACGUUUUGCGCAUGUGUGUUACGUUUAAAUUUUUUUGUCUCAUAAAGACAGUGCUCACUGACAAUGAGGUAGAGUUAUUAUACUUACACGAGAUGUAAGUUAGUUUACAGCGAUAGAAAACCUUGAGUGAUUGAGAAGGCUUUAGAUAGAAUUUCGUAAGCAAAAAAAAAUCAUAAAGGAACAAGCACAGCGUCUUAAUACAAACAUAUUCCAAAAAAAACAACAUAAAAACUGCAGUCACGAUAAAAAAAAAAUGUUUAAAACUAAAACUUUCACAUUACCAUUAAUACUAUUACUUUCCACAAUAAAUGCAACAUUUUGUAGUAAUAUUACGAAAAUUUUGAUCUUAUAACCUUUAGUAACUGUAACUGGGUAACUGAACUGUAGCAACU
Molecule: unclassified non-coding RNA, 459 nt
Filed under: Melitaea cinxia (Glanville fritillary)
Lineage: Eukaryota; Metazoa; Arthropoda; Insecta; Lepidoptera; Nymphalidae
Description: misc RNA ENSMCXG00005020216.1
Source: RNAcentral